GACGAACGCUGGCGGCGCGCCUAACACAUGCAAGUCGAACGAGCGAGAGAGAGCUUGCUUUCUCGAGCGAGUGGCGAACGGGUGAGUAACGCGUGAGGAACCUGCCUCAAAGAGGGGGACAACAGUUGGAAACGACUGCUAAUACCGCAUAAGCCCACGGUGCCGCAUGGCACCGAGGGAAAAGGAGCAAUCCGCUUUGAGAUGGCCUCGCGUCCGAUUAGCUAGUUGGUGAGGUAAUGGCCCACCAAGGCGACGAUCGGUAGCCGGACUGAGAGGUUGAACGGCCACAUUGGGACUGAGACACGGCCCAGACUCCUACGGGAGGCAGCAGUGGGGAAUAUUGCACAAUGGGGGAAACCCUGAUGCAGCGACGCCGCGUGGAGGAAGAAGGUCUUCGGAUUGUAAACUCCUGUUGUUGGGGAAGAUAAUGACGGUACCCAACAAGGAAGUGACGGCUAACUACGUA
RNAcentral lists this ribosomal RNA (466 nucleotides) under uncultured bacterium. Its description in RNAcentral is "partial 16S ribosomal RNA". It matches the Rfam family "Bacterial small subunit ribosomal RNA", at positions 28 to 507 of the family's 1533-position model. The record is from RNAcentral.